This 1772-nucleotide ribosomal RNA is filed under the name Lentomitella crinigera. Its description in RNAcentral is "eukaryotic LSU rRNA". It matches the Rfam family "Eukaryotic large subunit ribosomal RNA", at positions 1 to 1806 of the family's 3401-position model. Lineage: Eukaryota; Fungi; Ascomycota; Sordariomycetes; Xenospadicoidales; Xenospadicoidaceae. The record is from RNAcentral.
UUGACCUCGGAUCAGGUAGGAAUACCCGCUGAACUUAAGCAUAUCAAUAAGCGGAGGAAAAGAAACCAACAGGGAUUGCCUCAGUAACGGCGAGUGAAGCGGCAACAGCUCAAAUUUGAAAUCUGGCCUUGUGCCCGAGUUGUAAUUUGUAGAGGAUGCUUUCGGCGCGGCGCCUUCCGAGUUCCCUGGAACGGGACGCCAUAGAGGGUGAGAGCCCCGUAUGGUCGGAUGCCAAACCACUGUAAAGCUCCCUCGACGAGUCGAGUAGUUUGGGAAUGCUGCUCAAAAUGGGAGGUAAAUUUCUUCUAAAGCUAAAUACCGGCCAGAGACCGAUAGCGAAAAAGUAGAGUGAUCGAAAGAUGAAAAGCACUUUGAAAAGAGGGUUAAACAGCACGUGAAAUUGUUGAAAGGGAAGCGCUUGUGACCAGACCUGCGCCCUGGGGAUCAUCCGGCGUUCUCGCCGGUGCACUCCGCUGGGCUGCAGGCCAGCAUCGGUUCUCCUAGGGGGAUAAAAGCUUCGGGAACGUGGCUCCUUAGGGAGUGUUAUAGCCCGUUGCAUAAUACCCUUGGGGGGACCGAGGUACGCGCUCCGCAAGGAUGCUGGCGUAAUGGUCAUCAGCGACCCGUCUUGAAACACGGACCAAGGAGUCAAGCAUUAGGGCGAGUGUUUGGGUGCAAAACCCGCACGCGAAAUGAAAGUGAACGUAGGUGAGAGCUUCGGCGCAUCAUCGACCGAUCCUGAUGUUCUCGGAUGGAUUUGAGUAAGAGCCUUACCGCUUGGACCCGAAAGAUGGUGAACUAUGCCUGUAUAGGGUGAAGCCAGAGGAAACUCUGGUGGAGGCUCGCAGCGGUUCUGACGUGCAAAUCGAUCGUCAAAUAUGGGCAUGGGGGCGAAAGACUAAUCGAACUAUCUAGUAGCUGGUUACCGCCGAAGUUUCCCUCAGGAUAGCAGUGUUGUUUUCAGUUUUAUGAGGUAAAGCGAAUGAUUAGGGACUCGGGGGCGCUAUUUUGCCUUCAUCCAUUCUCAAACUUUAAAUAUGUAAGAAGCCCUUGUUACUUUGUUGAACGUGGGCCUUCGAAUGCAGCAACACUAGUGGGCCAUUUUUGGUAAGCAGAACUGGCGAUGCGGGAUGAACCGAACGCGGGGUUAAGGUGCCAGAGUGGACGCUCAUCAGACACCACAAAAGGCGUUAAUACAUCUUGACAGCAGGACGGUGGCCAUGGAAGUCGGAAUCCGCUAAGGACUGUGUAACAACUCACCUGCCGAAUGUAUUAGCCCUGAAAAUGGAUGGCGCUCAAGCGUCCCACCCAUACCCCGCCCUCAGGGUAGAAACGAUGCCCUGAGGAGUAGGCGGCCGCGGGGGCGGUGACGAAGCCCAGGGCGUGAGCCCGGGUCGAACCGCCCCUGGUGCAGAUCUUGGUGGUAGUAGCAAAUACUUCAAUGAGAACUUGAAGGACCGAAGUGGGGAAAGGUUCCAUGUGAACAGCGGUUGGACGUGGGUUAGCCGAUCCUAAGCCAUAGGGAAGUUCCGUUUCAAAGGGGCACUCGUGCCCCGUAUGGCGAAAGGGAAGCAGGUCAAUAUUCCUGCGCCUGGAUGCGGGUUUUUCGCGGCAACGCAACUGAACGCGGAGACGGCGGCGGGGGCCCCGGGCAGAGUUCUCUUUUCUUCUUAACGGUCUGCCACCCUGAAAACAGUUUGUCUGGAGAUAGGGUCCCAUGGCCGGAAGAGCCCAGCACCUCUGCUGGGUCCGGUGCGCCCCCGACGUCCCUU